AACGAACGCUGGCGGCGUGCCUAACACAUGCAAGUCGAGCGAGAAAAGGGGGGCAACUCCCUGAGUACAGCGGCGCACGGGUGAGUAACACGUAGGUGAUCUACCCUCGAGCUCGGAAUAACCUGCCGAAAGGUGGGCUAAUACCGGAUAUGACCACGGGAGUCUCGGCUCCUGCGGUGAAAGAUGGCCUCUAUUUAUAAGCUAUCACUCAAGGAUGAGCCUGCGUGCCAUUAGCUAGUUGGUGGGGUAACGGCUCACCAAGGCGAUGAUGGCUAGCUGGUCUGAGAGGAUGACCAGCCACACUGGGACUGAAACACGGCCCAGACUCCUACGGGAGGCUG
RNAcentral lists this ribosomal RNA (341 nucleotides) under uncultured Pseudomonadota bacterium. Its description in RNAcentral is "bacterial SSU rRNA". It matches the Rfam family "Bacterial small subunit ribosomal RNA", at positions 29 to 351 of the family's 1533-position model. The record is from RNAcentral. Lineage: Bacteria; Pseudomonadati; Pseudomonadota.